GUAUAGAGCUCUUCAAUGUUUUGGCACAUCAGACCGCAUUCAGUAAACAUUGGAAAUCGAAACGGUUCGGUUGAAAGUAUCUUCAUUUACUCGCAAGCAAUUCAAAAAGAUAUUGUAUCUAUACAUUUUGUUGAGGCUUUUUUGUUUUUGUAAUUUUCGUUCGAAGUUUCUUCAGCAAGUAAAAAAGUUCAUGUCACUGCGGGUCGAUCGUGUCCGACUUUUUUAAAAGUGUUUCCAUAAAUAACCAAAAAUUUGGUUGCGUGUGUAUUUAUUCUCAUUUUUAGAUACCUUUUGUAUCUUUUGGCUUGUUUGUUUGUGUGUUUGAUGUAAACCGACUAGUUCGGCAGUAGGUGUUUGAAAUAUCAAAAAUAUUAGUGGGUGGAAAGAUGAGUGGUUGUUCGGAAAAUUUUGAAACUAAAUUCUUCAAUAUUUUAAUGCAAUAUUGAUGCAUUGAAUAUCUUUUACGUCACUGUCAUCAGUAUCAACACGAAAAAAGUCGUAAUUUCACGUUCUACCUAUCAAUAUAAUAAAAGUGAAUAAGUCUCGUAAAUACCGUGUAUAACGGUUAUUUAUGUAAGAAAUUUUGUUUAUAAUAAAAUAGUUCUACAAUAUUUGUUUUAUCCAGCUGAGAAGAAUGUGAGAAAACUCAGCACGUUGUUUACGAUUAUAUUUUUAAAGUGAAAUAAUAUUUACAUGAACUUCAAUAUUCAUUUGGGUGGAAAAAAAUGUAUCUACAGUAAACAAGUACGAGAGAUAUAGAAAAUAGAACCAACAGCUGACUUGUUAAGAGUGUUUCAGGGUUUUAAGGGCAGACAACAUAACGCAACGAUAACCUUCCGGUGUCAUAGUUGGCCAAUUAAACUUGUGGCGGCAGCUUUAAUUAUAUGCUCAUCUCAAUCAACAUCCACAGAUGAUCUCCCACGUUAAAUCUGAAAAACAAAAACAACAACAAAGACAAGUAGAACCUACAAACAGACCGCAAAUAUGGGUCACAGCUGCUAGCACGCCAUCUAUACACAAUUACAAAAAUAAAAACGUCACUACAGCACACUGACAUCUCUGAUGAUUGUUUCACUAACGCAACGCACUCAUUGGUUGAAUUUUAAAUCGAAAUUGUGAACGAUUUCACAUAAAAACAACAACAACAACAAAAAAACGAAAUAAUAUUUAUUUUCUCAUUUCCCGCAGUCAUAAAUUACGUCUGAUUCGGUGUCUGAUUGCACAAAAGUUCGUGCUGUCUUUGUUAUCAUUAUUGCUUCUAUUUUUGAACUUCCCGAUAGGAAAUUAGAAAACCAACAACAA
This is a long non-coding RNA of Episyrphus balteatus (marmalade hoverfly), 1302 nucleotides long. RefSeq lists it as uncharacterized. The record is from RefSeq and is a predicted model, not a curated record. The transcript has 2 exons. Lineage: Eukaryota; Metazoa; Arthropoda; Insecta; Diptera; Syrphidae.